This 311-nucleotide ribosomal RNA is filed under the name uncultured bacterium. RNAcentral's name for it is "bacterial SSU rRNA". It matches the Rfam family "Bacterial small subunit ribosomal RNA", at positions 28 to 334 of the family's 1533-position model. The record is from RNAcentral.
GAUGAACGCUAGCUACAGGCUUAACACAUGCAAGUCGAGGGGUAGCACGGAGGAAGCUUGCUUCUUUGGGUGACGACCGGCGCACGGGUGAGUAACGCGUAUCCGACCUACCCAUAACACGGGCACAGCCGCUCGAAAGAGUGAUUGAUUCCCGAUAUGUCAUAUAAGUAGAUUAUAUGAUGAAAGAUUUAUCGGUUAUGGAUGGGGAUGCGUAAGAUUAGGUAGUAGGCGGGGUAACGGCCCACCUAGCCGACGAUCUUUAGGGGUUCUGAGAGGAAGGUCCCCCACACUGGUACUGAGACACGGACCAG